RNAcentral lists this ribosomal RNA (490 nucleotides) under uncultured bacterium. RNAcentral's name for it is "partial 16S ribosomal RNA". It matches the Rfam family "Bacterial small subunit ribosomal RNA", at positions 30 to 507 of the family's 1533-position model. The record is from RNAcentral.
AUUGAACGCUGGCGGCAGGCCUAACACAUGCAAGUCGAACGGUAACAGGAAGCAGCUUGCUGCUUUGCUGACGAGUGGCGGACGGGUGAGUAAUGUCUGGGAAACUGCCUGAUGGAGGGGGAUAACUACUGGAAACGGUAGCUAAAACCGCAUAACGUCGCAAGACCAAAGAGGGGGACCUUCGGGCCUCUUGCCAUCGGAUGUGCCCAGAUGGGAUUAGCUAGUAGGUGGGGUAACGGCUCACCUAGGCGACGAUCCCUAGCUGGUCUGAGAGGAUGACCAGCCACACUGGAACUGAGACACGGUCCAGACUCCUACGGGAGGCAGCAGUGGGGAAUAUUGCACAAUGGGCGCAAGCCUGAUGCAGCCAUGCCGCGUGUAUGAAGAAGGCCUUCGGGUUGUAAAGUACUUUCAGCGGGGAGGAAGGGAGUAAAGUUAAUACCUUUGCUCAUUGACGUUACCCGCAGAAGAAGCACCGGCUAACUCCGUG